This is a long non-coding RNA of Dufourea novaeangliae, 339 nucleotides long. RefSeq lists it as uncharacterized. The transcript has 3 exons. The record is from RefSeq and is a predicted model, not a curated record. NCBI's taxonomy places the organism in Eukaryota, Metazoa, Arthropoda, Insecta, Hymenoptera, Halictidae.
AAUAUGCCGAGUGAUAGGUGGUGAAGUAGUCUUAGUCUGUUAUGCACUGGGCAUCGAGGAUAUUGACGGUAUCCUCGCGUCACACAAUCGGCACGUUGUUAUUUGUAGGUGUCAGUCUUAAGUUUUGUGAUGCAUACCACGAUUUCACACGAACUACCUGAGAGAUUCGACUCUGAAAAAAGAGUGUUUUUGCGACAUCUACACAGCAGACCAGGCAUAGGGCCAGGAAUUUUGUUUCUAUUGUGCUGGGCCAAGGUUGCAGAAUCUAUAUGGGGCAAUGCGUGUCGCGUAAGGCGGGCGCCGUCAUCACAACCGGACAUUGCGAAUCGCUCACGUACC